This 57-nucleotide transfer RNA is filed under the name Ovis aries (sheep). It matches the Rfam family "tRNA", at positions 8 to 63 of the family's 71-position model. From Rfam's summary of the family: Transfer RNA (tRNA) molecules are approximately 80 nucleotides in length. Their secondary structure includes four short double-helical elements and three loops (D, anti-codon, and T loops). Lineage: Eukaryota; Metazoa; Chordata; Mammalia; Artiodactyla; Bovidae. The record is from Rfam by way of RNAcentral.
UGGCUCAGAGGUUAAAGCAUCUGCCUCCAAUGCGGAAGACCCGGGUUCAAUCCCUGG